AACAGCAGGAUAUUUCUUCAUCAUUUAACUUUUUUUUUUUGUUUUAAAUUUCAUAAUGACAAAGUGAGCCUGUAUGACAGCUCUAGAAACUGAAGGCAGGAUUCUUCUUUUGCACCGCAGCCUUUUAGGUUGCUGUGGGAGUGCUGCUAAAAUAGCUGGAAGGGCUAUUACGCCAACGCAUCUCUUGAGCCUCUUCUUUCUUAUGGCAGGGUGGCGGAUACAAAUUUAGCAUUCCUGCUCAUGUGACCAUCCCACACUGUGCAUAACCCCUACAAAGAGCCAGGCCAUGUGGGCAGCUGGGCAUCCUGCAAAGUAGGGCUUCAGGAAGUAGUGAGGCAGAGCCAUGCAGCAGUGCUGUGGUACCCAUUUGGACCUGGAUCCACCUGGUCAGGCUGCAUCUACCCUGUCCCAGGGCAGGACAGAGGGUCUGUGUCACCUGCUGUGAAAGGAGAGGGCUCCAGCUAUUCAUGCACAAGAGCCCCAUGCUGCCUGAUGGUGUUGAUGUGCCUCGGUGCCACGUGGAUGGGCACAAGCUGUUGGUAAAAACAGAGGGCUGGGUUGCCAGCUCUCUUCUCACCAGUCCUCUGGGCUCUUGGGGUGGAAUUAGGGGCACUCACCUUAGUGGAGGAGGCAAGUUUAACCUUUAUCUCCUGCUCAAAUUAUCCCCUGGAGGAGGGGUUUUGUUUGCCCCUCUCUGAUGGUCACGCAGAUGCCUGCUGAGACCACAGCACUGGAGUGCUGCUGAGCUAGCAGAGUUUGGCUCUUACAGCUCGGGAGUGAAAGGUGUUUGUUGCCAGCAGAGCAAUACCCAUCUGAAGCACCAAGUAUGAGAUCUGUAAGUAAAAAGCAAAUCCAGCUGGGUCAGGGAAAUUAAAACAACUCAGGCUCUCCCUUCUGCUCCAAGUUUUAUCUGCAUGAAGUUAAGAGGAGCAUCAGCGUCUUGUAAAGAAACAUGUUCCUACCUCCAUCCCUCACCCCGGGACCCUUUAAAAAUCCCCUGCACAGGCAGUGCCUUUGCUUUUACUAUUUCCUGACCUUUGCUAUAGUCUGACAAAGCUUUGGAGAAUAAACCAUCUCAAACUCAUACAACUCAUGUAUUACAUCUCUGUUCUCAUUAAGACCAAACCUCUUAUCAGGUCACACUUCACCAUAACUUCUCCCUCCAGAGUUUAACACAAUCUCUCUUAUUAACUUUAUCAUCCAUUACCACCAAAAAUAACUUAUAUCUUCUGUUACAUUAUGGCAUUCAUAAAAUACUGCACAGCUUCAGGAAGGCACCUUCCUUGGGAUUUGAUGCUUGUAUUCAUGCAAUGUUCUCAUCAUCUUCCUUUUUGUUGCACCUGCAGGACAUGAUUUCUCUCCUCUACUGGUGUGAGGCCAGUCAGGAUGUUUUCCCCAGAGCCAUCUGGACGGAGCAAAGGUCACCUCAGUUGAGAACUUCUAUGAUUGUCAGAACUGGAACCACCUUCUGGGCUUCUCACUAGCACAAGUUCUGAUAAAACCCCUUUACCAUCUUUUUCAGCUGGGUCUGAGCAAGAAAGAAACUUACACUGAUAAACAUCUGUCUUCAGCAUGUGCAGUGGGAGGGAAAGAGCCGGCAGGUUCCUCUAGACCCAGACUUUUGCAAUUGAACUUAGUGAAAUACCUAGAAAAAAAAUAUGAGGAUAGAGGGAAUCCAUCCUGCAAAGCUCAAACCUUCCUAAUACCAAUUUGCUGCAGCCAUAAACACUCUCAGUGGAGAAAAUGGAAAUACAGGGAAACAGCUGCCCCAGCAAAAAACAGGAAAGGCAGCAGCCUUGAACUGACCGUGAACACAUCAGUAUGCUUGGAUUUUGGAUUUCACAAGGGCCCUUCUCACAGGAAGGCUCAUGUAACCAUGGCAAUGGAGAUCUCUGGAUGCAUUUCAUCCUUGUCACCACUAACAAACAAGCAAGUUAGAUCAGAUGCAGAUAAGAAAAGUCUUCCCACUCCUCUUUUUACUAAACAGUUCAGAAUUUCUAGGAAUCAUAAGGAAUAAAAGACAACUUCAGAAGAAAAACAAAGUCCCAAGAAUCAUCACAACUCAGAUUUUUAUUCAACAGUGAAGUUGAAGGGAAUGGUGUUUUUUUCCCUUCAGGGCAAAUGUUCCAAAUGAAAAUUAAGUAAAAAUAUUGUUCCCCAAAAGUACUCACAAUGAAAUUAGUUUUCAUUAAAUAUAUUUGUUUGGCAAAAUAAAAUAAAAAAAUUAGAACCCGUACAAAAAAAAUCCCUUGCAAAUUUCUAACACUGUAGCAAUGACAACGAUGUAAACCUGGAUGUUUGGCAGUUGUAAUUAAUUUUUGAAAAUUACUGUUGAACUUUGGACCAAGGAAAUAAAAUCACUUCAAAUAGCAACAAGCCAAUUUCAGAGGCAACUGAGGCUUAGGGAACGCUACAGGAAUGGGACACACUAGUGGCUUCAUACACGGUUUGUGUGAGUGAUCUGCUAGUGAGGGGCUAUUGUAAGAGCUGGGAGGAAAAGAAGUUAAAAGCUGUUGCAGCAUUGCAGCGUAUGGUACAGCAAAAACCUGCAGACUUUCCACUCUGGGAGCUGAUCAGCUGGGUGAAGGCUGGAGGCAAGAGCUGAGAUGACAGUGGAGAGAAUAAUGACAGUGACGGAUGGUGCAAGAACCGGGAAGCAGUUAACGAAUUUCAUCAUCACAUUGGAUUCAGUGGUGAGCAGACUCUUGUGAGUGUCUGGGGAAAUCUUCUGCUUACAGUAGCUGCUUUUGCUCCCUACCUCCCUCCUCCUUCCAGUUAAAGCCUCUGC
This is a long non-coding RNA of Taeniopygia guttata (zebra finch), 2788 nucleotides long. Lineage: Eukaryota; Metazoa; Chordata; Aves; Passeriformes; Estrildidae. The record is from Ensembl.